Marmota monax (woodchuck) is the source of this 7537-nucleotide long non-coding RNA. RefSeq lists it as uncharacterized. Lineage: Eukaryota; Metazoa; Chordata; Mammalia; Rodentia; Sciuridae. The record is from RefSeq and is a predicted model, not a curated record. The transcript is spliced from 4 exons.
CUGGGCCUCUGUCUUUGAGUCUGUAACAGGGACAUAAUAAUAAUGCACAUUACAUGGGAUGUGCUGCAGGAUAGUGUAUGUAAAACUUUUAACUGGGCCUGCCACAAAGUACAUGCUCAGUUUAGUCAGUUCCUACUGUUAUUUCUAAGUUUUCAGUUAUUCAUUCAAUGAAUGCUUACUGAGCAUUUACUAUGAGCCAGGCACAAUUCUAGGCACUCUCCAAAUUCUCUCAAUCCUUCUAACGACUCUAUUAUUAUCCCCAUUUUACAACCAUGCAAACUGAGGCACAGUGAGGUCCAGUCACUUAUUCAAGGUCACACAGCUGGUAGGAAUUGGAACCUAGGUCUGUUGGUCUCUUUAAAUCCAGCUUUGAGUCAUGUACUUCCCCUUUAUAGUUCAAAGUCCUCCCCUCUCCCCAGCAGCAGCCCCUGUUAAAUAAAUCAUCCAGUAACGGUUUCUAAUUCCCAGACUUGGUUGCAAAUGAAUUAUUCACAUUGUAAGGCCUGCAAACCGCAAACUGGGCCUCAUUACCCAAGAAGGCCGCCUGCCCACAAGAUGCCGCUCCCUCCCCUGGGCUCCGGUCCUGGCGGGCCAGUCAGAAGUUGCCAGAGUUGGCGGGCGGGCGCCAGGGCCCAGUCCCUGAGCUCUGCUCUGGGAACUGGGAGGGGGGGUUUCCCUCCCCAUUUCCCAGCCUUUGCUUUCUAACAAGCUCCCAGUCUUAGGUUAAGAGAAGACCUGGGUUCUAGUCCCAGCUCUGCCCUGAGCAGCUGCGUGACCUCAAGCAGGUGGCUUACCCUCUCUGAGCUUCCAAGGCAGACUAAGCUUGCCCUCACUGGGGCACAGGGCCCCACUUGACACAUUCUCUUCUAUCUGUGGGCUGAGGCUUGUGCCACCUGGCCAGGCCCUGUCCUGGAUGCUGAGGACAAAGCUUCUGUCCAGCAUGUGAAUGAAACUGUGGCAUGAGUCAGAGCCCAGGCCGAUCCUAGAAGGUGCUGUCUCCAGAGAUCCUCUUCAGGGCACAGCUGCUGCGACUGUUGACUGCUGGUUCCUCCCGGAGUUGUGCCCUACUGCCUGGGGCAACCCUUGGCCAGGGACUGACCAGUGUCGGGUGCUACAAACGCCUGCCUCCACCGGAACAAUUGUGAAGGACCAGCCACUCGCAGGGUCCCCACAGGGGCCUCUGGUGCGAGCUCAUUGUGGGUCAGUUUCUCCUGCAUCUCCCCACUGCCUUCCCGGUGGAUCUGCUGCGGGCACAGCCCAGGAAACCCUCAGCUCAGAGGCUGGAGACUCGUCACAGACAGGGCCAGUCCUGGCACUCAAUGAGACCCGAUCCAAAUCACCAGCAGAUUCCUAACUCCCAGGCUGGCUGAGCCUAGUUUCUGCCCCAGCCAAGCUCAGAUCCCAGUCCCAGGUUGAGCCCUGACGUCAGUCACAGGCUGAAUCCAGAUGCUAACUGAUCCCUAAUCUUAUUGCAGACUAAGCGCUGAUCUCGAUCCCAGGCUGAUCUCCAGGCCUGUUCCAAGUUCUGAUCCUGAUCAGAUUGAGCCCAGCGUUCACAGAAAGCAGGGCACCUAUGGAGACCCAUGGAGAUGGGACAGAGGGUGGUAAGUGGGAGACAGGAGGAGCCUGGAGUCCAGGUUAGACUGAGAACAGAACCAGACUAACAGCCCGUCAGCCAGAAGACCAGAGGCCCAGAACUUCAGUUCACAGAGAGGUCUUCUCCAAAAACACCCAAACAGGGGUUUCCUCUUGGUGGAAGAACCAAAAUCUGAACCAAGGAUGGUAAGAAGGCUCCUCAGAGCUGCCAUUCUGGAGCAGGGUGGGUGUCCCAUGCAUUAAGCCACGGUAUUCCUCUGGGUCCCCACUGCCCCUCAGAAUAACCCUGUGGAUUGAAUUAUUACCCAUUUUACAGAAAAGAGAGUUGAGGCUCGAGAAGCAAAUGACCUGCCUCUUGCCUCCGUCGUGGGAGAAUCAGCACUCGGGCCCUUGACCUCCCUGUACUUUGGUGGGGUCUAGGUGCAGGCAGUUACAGUCUCCUGAAGAGAGGCCUAGGGCUUGCAGUCCCUCUGCCACGCGACUUAGCUGUUGGCUAAGUCCUGAGCCUGCCCAAGGCAGGAGAGGAGCCAGGGAAGAGAAAGGCGCUGGCUAGCAUGGCAGGUGAGGAAACUGAGGUCCAGAAAGGGGAUCCCACUUGUCGGGCUCACAGAGCUGAGACCUGCCCCCAGAACCCCCAUGCUCGGCCUCCCGCCCUGUGUUCCUUCACCUGCACAGGAGAAUGAAGGCCGUCCAUCACCCCUCGUCCAUCCAUCGUCCACCUACCCGCCCCCCGGGUCAGCAGCCGGUCCGUAGCGUCCUCCGUGUGCCAAGUCUGGGCAAAUUCCGCAGGCGGAGUGGAGACCCGAGGCAGAGCCCGUGGACUCUCAGGGGACCCACAGAUUAAACAAACAUGCCGCAGAAAGAAACGCAUCGCCGAGUGCUGAGAGCCGCCCAGGAUGUAACCAGGCCUCUCCCUCUCGGGGUGCUCCCGGCCCCAGGGAGCUCCAGGCAGAAACCCUGCAGAGAGCACCCAGGGCUUAGCCUCAGGGGACAGGGGCUUCGAGAAAAGCAGGAAUACUCCCCCAGGGAGUCAGGCAGCUUGGUGAGGCUGCAGCCAGGCCACCUGACCACUGCGACCACUGACCACUGCGAGGAGAAGCCCUCCAGGGGGCCUUGUCUGCAGCAGGAGGUGGGAAAAUGGAGUCCCAGAGAGCAACGGGGGAGCUGUAAUUCACCAGGCUACGAGCAUCUAAAUCAAUGAACUAAUUAAUGAGUAAACGAGCGAAGAAGAGGCUCACCUAGGGGGAGCAAGAGUGAGAAAUGUGGCCACACAGUGUGCAGGGACACCCUGUGUGCGACUGGAAGCACGGUGAAUUUCGAAAUCUGGGCAGGGGCAAUGGGGAGCCACUGAUGGUUUCUGAGCUGGGAGAGGAUGGCCCAGGCCAGGUCCUCAGGUCCCUCGGUGCUGCCCCGGGGCCAUCUGUCUCCACCUCCUACACUCUGCCACUCUUUGCAUCCAUGUCCCCCACCCUCCGCCCCCACUGCCUCUCAGCCACUGUGAGGAACCAUGUGUGACGGUGGAGAAUGUAAAAAUAUACGAAAAACAACAAGGGCGACUGCGCUCGGCUAUAAAUACCCUGACGGCGGAAUCGCUCCUCCAGUCCCCUUCCUGCUGCCUGAGGAGCGGGGGCUUGGUGUUCGGCAGGUGGAGAGGGGGACUCAGGAAGGGAGGAAGGAACGGGAAUGACCGCUUGCAGACCUACUUUGUGCCAAGCGCUUUGCAAGCCUUGUCCUCACGAAACCCUGACAGUGACUCACUCCUGAUCCCCUCUUUACAGAUAAGGAAACUGAAGCACGAGAAGUAGGUCAUCUGGCCAAGGCCACUCAGUCACACGGCCUGGGAGGGAGCCGGGCAGCUGGAGCUCCUGCAAGCUCCGCCUGGCGGGAGAGGCCAAGCCGGCCUCCGGCCAGCUCUGCAAGCAGAGGAGGCCGCCUGGGGUCCCUCCAAGGUCCGAGAGGGCCCACGGUCCCAGGUGCCCGCGGCUUCCACCCCUUCCAUGGCUCCCCAUCGCCCUGGGCCAAAGGACAUGCUCCUGGGUGCGGCCCUGGGGUGCUGUGGUCUGCCCUCUGCCCACGUCCCUGUGGGUGCCCGGGUCUCUGAGCCACGGCCACGUGGACCCUCUAAGGGGAGCUUCACAGGACUGAGCCUCUCUCUGUCGGUCCUUGCCACUUCAUUUUCCGGGGCUAGGUCACCCUUGGUGCCACCUCCUCAGGGAAGACACCAGGCUUCCUCCACUGCCCUGAGGGCCCUCCCCCAGGACCCCAGGCCCGGUCCCAAUCUUGAGGGCUUCUCAGUGGCCAGGGGAGGAAGGUGCCUCCUCUGGUGAGUGGCCAGGGCUGUGGUGGCAGCAGUGUGACCUGGCCUUGGAGACCGGCUGGAGGUGUGGGGUGCAGGGCCCUGGAGGGGAGUCAGCACUGGGGCGCUGGGAAGAGGAAAGAAAAUGGAGGCGGGAGGGACAGGAAGGGACUCCUGGGGCCCCUGCUGGGGGACACACAGGGUGCUGACUGAGGACAGAAAUGAACUGGCUCCAUCUCUGGGCCUUCAUCCUGCUCCCGGCCCAUUCCCCCUCUGGCCAGGGGGCUGAAAGGCGAGUGGGAGGUUGUUCCCUUCAGGGCCGUCCCCCCCCCCACCCCAGGGCCAGCGCAGCCCACGGAAAGAUCGCGGGAGCCGCUGGAGCAAGUUGGAAUUUUAACUUUCCAGGAGUCCCUUUUUAAAAAAAUAAAGGAAAAGCAAAUUGAAGUUAGUUUUAACAUUUUAUUUAACCCAAUAUGCUCCAAAUAUUCUUUCUAUAUAUGAUCAAGAUAAAAAAUUAUUGAGACAUGUUCCUUUCUUUUUUUUUUAAUACUAAGUCUUCCAGAUCCAGUGUGUGUUUUACACUGACCACCCUCAGUGUGGAGCAGCUGUGGGUCCACUGCCCAGUAGCCACGUGGCCAGCAGCUGCUGUACUGGACCGCACGGCUCUGGAUGUGAAGCCCCUGAGAGUCAGGACUGUGAUGAGACCCACCAUUAUGAUCUCCAGGGUCUGGUGCAUAGGGGAUGGUCAGGAGGUGUUUGUUGAUUGACUGACUGAAUGAAUCAAUGUCCAAGAUCUUAAAGGACCUAAAGGGAGGCUGUCAACUCAGGCCAUGGGAAGAGCGUGGAGAUGAGUCUAGUCUCACAUUCGUCUCCAAUUCUCUGAGUCCUGCCCCUCCCCAGACCACAGUUCCCCCAUCUGGGUUGGAUGUGGUGACUUCUCUGAGCUCUCUCUAGAGGAAUGUCCCCUCAGUGUCCCUGCCCUGCUCCACCUCACGACCCUGUCCUCCCUCUCCCUGUGUGUGAGACGAGGUCUCCGGAAAGGCCCCGGGUGACCUUCUGUACAGAGGGGACCAGACCCCACAGGGGGAAGCUGAGGAAGAGCAGCUGCCACACACUGCCUGGGCACAGGGAACGAGGACCUGUGGGUGCUGACACCUCCGUCACCCCACACCCCACAGGGGUCCAGAGCUGGGAGGAGAGUGGGGCCGGCUUGUCGCUCUGAUUCUGCAGGAGUGAAACAGGAGGGCCAAGGGGCCAGAGAGCAGGUCCCGGGGCAGGAGAGGACUGACCCUUUGCCUGGGAACCCUGUUUUCCUCCUCCAAAGUCUGGGUACAAAACCUGGCUUCUUCCUGUCAGCGCCUCGAAUCCAGGUUCCGCUACCUAACAGCCCGCUGGCCUUGGAAAGACGCUUUACUUAGCCUCAGUGGCCUUAUUUGUUCAAGGGAUCCUAAUAUCAGCAACCACAGGAAUCUCUGAGCCCUUGAAACGUGUCCCCACACAGGAGCCCACGGGGUGCCUGGGACACGGUCAGGGCACCUUGAGGCCAUCGUGAACUCCAGAGUCGCGUUCCUUGGCGGCGGCAGGACGACUGUUGUGGAUUCAGAAUCCCAGGUGGCUUUGGAGACCAUAAAGCCCUUUGUGAGGACUUUCGAGACUGUUGAGAGCCGUGCACGUCGGGGACCAAGUGGCCUUUCAAAGACAUGGGCAAGAAGUGGGGUGGGCGAGGGGAGGGGAGACGCAGCCCCUCCCUGUGCCCGGGAGAUUCCAGCCGUCUGCAGAUUCCUGCGAUUCUGCUCCAGGCCAGAGCGGCCUCUGCGCUGACUCAGCGCGGCCCAGGGAUGGCGAUGGCGGGACCUGCCCAGCUUCCUCGCACUCACGCCUUGUUUUCUUUCUGCCACAAAAGCCAUGAACUUGACAUCCUUUGAAGAUUUCCUUACUGGGCUGAGGGGGCGGGGAGCUCCAGGCCUCUGGUGACCUUGCUCCGACGUCUUGGGGCUGCUCCCCACCAAGGAAGGAUCGCGGGCGCCAGGGCUGAGGGCAGGUGGGGGCCACUGCCUCGGAGCCACUAUGGGGCCAGCACAGGGAAGGUCCGGCUUCCAAGGCCACCUUCUCAUCUGUGACCGUGGGCGAGUUCUUUUCCCUCUCUAAGCCUGAGUCCCUCAACUGUCACAUGGGGUCAGUGAUGCUCAUCUUGUGUUUGCGUCAUUCAGUGGCUUGGUAUGCAGGCAAGUUCUGUCCCUGCGUCCGCCCACAGGCCUGAGGGCCUUCUAAUAAGGGAGAGGCGAAUGGCAAGGCAGCUUCUGGAGGCUAGGGAUUAUGAGCACGGGUUUCCAAAUCAGGAAGAUCUGAGUUUGAAUCUUGCCUCUGCAACAUACCAGCUGUGUGUUUUUAGGCAAGUCACAUUCCCUCUCUGAGCCUCAAUAUCCUCUGCUAUAAAACUGGCACAAUAAUAUAGUCUCUACCUCAUAAAAUGUUGGCAGGAGGACUGGGAAUGUGGCUCAGUGGUAGAGUGCUUGCCUGGCACGUGCAAGGCCCUGGGCCCAGUUCCCAGCACCACAAACAGAACAAAACCAGAAAUGUCUGCAAGGGUUCAGAGACAUGGUCCUAUGGCGGGUGGCACAGGGAGCCUGGAAGAGGAGAGCUGCUCAACGAGUGGCGCCCACUCCCCUCCCCAAACUGCAGCCCUUUCUCCCCGCUGCCUCGGUGCCUCGGCACAUUUGCAGGUGUUAGAUAAAAGCGUCUGGGCCAGUCAGCACCCUGCACCUGGGGCCUCCUCGACCCCCCUUGAACUUCUCUGGUACAGUCCCCCUCCUUGUCCCUGCCCGGCCCAUGUCUCUGUGUGCUGUUGACCCUGCUCCUGUUGGGACUCAGCUCCUUUGAGCCCCUCCCUACAACCACGCACAAGCACCCUUUUCACAGGGAGGAGAGUCUACACUGUAGGCACACAAGUGAGCUGAACAAGCCCCGUCAGGAUUGUCACUGCUGUGCAGUCUGCCUGCCCUCUGAGUGCAUCCCUGGCUUGCUCCGUCCUACCGUCACUAGUCCAUAGAUUCCCUGGGGGCCAGGGCUAUGGCCUUCAUCCACUGUGUCCCAGCACCCAGCACAGUCAGUACCUGGCCCACAGUCAGUGGGUAGCUCGGAACUACCAAACACAGGGUGAGUAAAUGGAUAAAUGAGAGGGAAAGAGAUCACUGAGGCAGGGGUGAACUGCAUGGCUGUCCAGCGCCCUCAGCUGACUGUUAGGGUCUGUAAACAAGUCAAGAUGGCGCCUGGCAUUUUGCCAGAGGGAGUGGUUUGUGAAGUAACGCCAGCGAGCCAUUAAGUGUGGAGAUUCCUUAUUGGUUGACUGCUAUAUCUAGUUUAUGUUAAUUAAGAUACGAUGUGUGGAAUGUAUAUAUACCCCUCCUGUCCUACGAUAAAUGGCUCCCACUCCUGCUGUAUCAAUGUACACAAGUUGUUCGUCACCCCACGGUUAGUUUGCUACAGCCGGACUGCGGCAGCUGUCAAAGGUCAGUUGUGGGCCAUGGGAACUGUAUGAGUCAGCUUCUUGUUACUGUAAUGGAAUGCCUGAGGCAGUCUAACUUUACAAAGAAUAAAGGUCCAUUUGGCUUCCAGUUCUGGACAGUCUUGGGCAUCAUGAUGGCA